GAUGAACGCUGGCGGCGUGCCUAAUACAUGCAAGUCGAGCGAACGGACGAGAAGCUUGCUUCUCUGAUGUUAGCGGCGGACGGGUGAGUAACACGUGGAUAACCUACCUAUAAGACUGGGAUAACUUCGGGAAACCGGAGCUAAUACCGGAUAAUAUUUUGAACCGCAUGGCUCAAAAGUGAAAGACGGUCUUGCUGUCACUUACAGAUGGAUCCGCGCUGCAUUAGCUAGUUGGUAAGGUAACGGCUUACCAAGGCAACGAUGCAUAGCCGACCUGAGAGGGUGAUCGGCCACACUGGAACUGAGACACGGUCCAGACUCCUACGGGAGGCAGCAGUAGGGAAUCUUCCGCAAUGGGCGAAAGCCUGACGGAGCAACGCCGCGUGAGUGAUGAAGGUCUUCGGAUCGUAAAACUCUGUUAUUAGGGAAGAACAUAUGUGUAAGUAACUGUGCACAUCUUGACGGUACCUAAUCAGAAAGCCACGGCUAACUACGUG
RNAcentral lists this ribosomal RNA (497 nucleotides) under uncultured bacterium. RNAcentral describes it as "partial 16S ribosomal RNA". It matches the Rfam family "Bacterial small subunit ribosomal RNA", at positions 28 to 507 of the family's 1533-position model. The record is from RNAcentral.